CCUACGGGAGGCAGCAGUGGGGAAUAUUGCACAAUGGGCGCAAGCCUGAUGCAGCAACGCCGCGUGAGGGACGACGGCCUUCGGGUUGUAAACCUCUUUUAGUAGGGAAGAAGCGAACGUGACGGUACCUGCAGAAAAAGCACCGGCUAACUACGUGCCAGCAGCCGCGGUAAUACGUAGGGUGCAAGCGUUAUCCGGAAUUAUUGGGCGUAAAGAGCUCGUAGGCGGUUUGUCGCGUCUGCUGUGAAAACUGGAGGCUCAACCUCCAGCCUGCAGUGGGUACGGGCAGACUAGAGUGCGGUAGGGGAGAUUGGAAUUCCUGGUGUAGCGGUGGAAUGCGCAGAUAUCAGGAGGAACACCGAUGGCGAAGGCAGAUCUCUGGGCCGUAACUGACGCUGAGGAGCGAAAGCAUGGGGAGCGAACAGGAUUAGAUACCCUGGUAGUCCAUGCCGUAAACGUUGGGAACUAGAUGUAGGGACCAUUCCACGGUUUCUGUGUCCGCAGCUACGACAUACGUUACCCGUCCGUCGGGAGGUACGGCCGCGACGACGUAAACGUACGAAGUUAGUUAGUAGUUACGUUGUGAGCGCGACGACGACGACGACGGAGGAGGAG
Molecule: ribosomal RNA, 615 nt
Filed under: uncultured bacterium
Lineage: Bacteria
Description: bacterial SSU rRNA
Rfam family: Bacterial small subunit ribosomal RNA (bases 1-525)
Source: RNAcentral